Molecule: non-coding RNA, 83 nt
Organism: Massarina eburnea CBS 473.64
Lineage: Eukaryota; Fungi; Ascomycota; Dothideomycetes; Pleosporales; Massarinaceae
Source: the annotation of a GenBank genome assembly
GCCCGCAUGGCUAAGUGGUAUAGCGUCUCACUAGUAACUUCCUGUACAUGAGAAGAUCGGCGGUUCGAUUCCGCCUGUGGGCA